This 30-nucleotide non-coding RNA is filed under the name Homo sapiens (human). The record is from RNAcentral. Lineage: Eukaryota; Metazoa; Chordata; Mammalia; Primates; Hominidae.
UAGUGAGGGUGUUCCCAUGAGAUCUGAUGU